This 856-nucleotide ribosomal RNA is filed under the name Brevibacterium album. RNAcentral describes it as "bacterial SSU rRNA". It matches the Rfam family "Bacterial small subunit ribosomal RNA", at positions 50 to 904 of the family's 1533-position model. Lineage: Bacteria; Bacillati; Actinomycetota; Actinomycetes; Micrococcales; Brevibacteriaceae. The record is from RNAcentral.
AACACAUGCAAGUCGAACGCUGAAGCCCUCAGCUUGCUGAGGUGUGGAUGAGUGGCGAACGGGUGAGUAACACGUGAGUAACCUGCCCCUGACUGUGGGAUAAGCCUGGGAAACUGGGUCUAAUACCGCAUAUGACAUGUCCUCGCAUGAGGGUGUGUGGAAAGGUUUUUCUGGUUGGGGAUGGGCUCGCGGCCUAUCAGCUUGUUGGUGGGGUAACGGCCUACCAAGGCGACGACGGGUAGCCGGCCUGAGAGGGCGACCGGCCACACUGGGACUGAGACACGGCCCAGACUCCUACGGGAGGCAGCAGUGGGGAAUAUUGCACAAUGGGGGAAACCCUGAUGCAGCGACGCCGCGUGAGGGAUGACGGCCUUCGGGUUGUAAACCUCUUUCAGCAGGGAAGAAGCCCCCUUGGGGGUGACGGUACCUGCAGAAGAAGUACCGGCUAACUACGUGCCAGCAGCCGCGGUAAUACGUAGGGUACAAGCGUUGUCCGGAAUUAUUGGGCGUAAAGAGCUCGUAGGCGGUUCGUCGCGUCUGCUGUGGAAACGCAAGGCUCAACCUUGCGCGUGCAGCGGGUACGGGCGUAACUAGAGUGCAGUAGGGGAGUCUGGAAUUCCUGGUGUAGCGGUGAAAUGCGCAGAUAUCAGGAGGAACACCGGUGGCGAAGGCGGGACUCUGGGCUGUUACUGACGCUGAGGAGCGAAAGCAUGGGGAGCGAACAGGAUUAGAUACCCUGGUAGUCCAUGCCGUAAACGUUGGGCACUAGGUGUGGGACUCAUUCCACGAGUUCCGUGCCGCAGCUAACGCAUUAAGUGCCCCGCCUGGGGAGUACGGCCGCAAGGCUAAAACUCAA